CAGCCGCCGCGGUAAUACGUAGGGUGCAAGCGUUAAUCGGAAUUACUGGGCGUAAAGCGUGCGCAGGCGGUUCGGAAAGAAAGAUGUGAAAUCCCAGAGCUUAACUUUGGAACUGCAUUUUUAACUACCGGGCUAGAGUGUGUCAGAGGGAGGUGGAAUUCCGCGUGUAGCAGUGAAAUGCGUAGAUAUGCGGAGGAACACCGAUGGCGAAGGCAGCCUCCUGGGAUAACACUGACGCUCAUGCACGAAAGCGUGGGGAGCAAACAGGAUUAGAUGCCCUGGUAGUCCACGCCCUAAACGAUGUCAACUAGCUGUUGGGGCCUUCGGGCCUUGGUAGCGCAGCUAACGCGUGAAGUUGACCGCCUGGGGAGUACGGUCGCAAGAUUAAAACUUAAAGGAAUUGGCGGG
RNAcentral lists this ribosomal RNA (408 nucleotides) under uncultured microorganism. Its description in RNAcentral is "bacterial SSU rRNA". It matches the Rfam family "Bacterial small subunit ribosomal RNA", at positions 509 to 917 of the family's 1533-position model. The record is from RNAcentral.